GACGACCUCAGUUCGGAUUGAAGGCUGAAAUUCGCCUUCAUGAAGUCGGAAUUGCUAGUAAUGGCAGGUCAGCAUACUGCCGUGAAUACGUUCCCGGGCCUUGUACACACCGCCCGUCACACCAUGAGAGUUGGAGAUACCCGAAGCCUAUGAGCUAACUUUUAGAGGCAGUAGUCGAAGGUAGAAUCAAUGAUUGGGGUGAAGUCGUAACAAGGUACC
Molecule: ribosomal RNA, 219 nt
Filed under: uncultured bacterium
Lineage: Bacteria
Description: partial 16S ribosomal RNA
Rfam family: Bacterial small subunit ribosomal RNA
Source: RNAcentral